Molecule: ribosomal RNA, 495 nt
Filed under: Staphylococcus aureus
Lineage: Bacteria; Bacillati; Bacillota; Bacilli; Caryophanales; Staphylococcaceae
Description: partial 23S ribosomal RNA
Rfam family: Bacterial large subunit ribosomal RNA
Source: RNAcentral
CUGGGAGGACCAUCUCCUAAGGCUAAAUACUCUCUAGUGACCGAUAGUGAACCAGUACCGUGAGGGAAAGGUGAAAAGCACCCCGGAAGGGGAGUGAAAUAGAACCUGAAACCGUGUGCUUACAAGUAGUCAGAGCCCGUUAAUGGGUGAUGGCGUGCCUUUUGUAGAAUGAACCGGCGAGUUACGAUUUGAUGCAAGGUUAAGCAGUAAAUGUGGAGCCGUAGCGAAAGCGAGUCUGAAUAGGGCGUUUAGUAUUUGGUCGUAGACCCGAAACCAGGUGAUCUACCCUUGGUCAGGUUGAAGUUCAGGUAACACUGAAUGGAGGACCGAACCGACUUACGUUGAAAAGUGAGCGGAUGAACUGAGGGUAGCGGAGAAAUUCCAAUCGAACCUGGAGAUAGCUGGUUCUCUCCGAAAUAGCUUUAGGGCUAGCCUCAAGUGAUGAUUAUUGGAGGUAGAGCACUGUUUGGACGAGGGGCCCCUCUCGGGUUACCG